This is a small nucleolar RNA of Gastrolobium bilobum, 106 nucleotides long. RefSeq annotates it as small nucleolar RNA snoR99. The transcript has a single exon. The record is from RefSeq and is a predicted model, not a curated record. NCBI's taxonomy places the organism in Eukaryota, Viridiplantae, Streptophyta, Magnoliopsida, Fabales, Fabaceae.
GUGCUUUAGGGAUGAACAAAGUCCCUCAUAUUGAAUUUAUCCAUCUGAUCACUUUGUCAGCUUUUCUUUUUUAAUAUCUUGCUGAUCAUUAUAGGAUGGAAUAUUG